Molecule: long non-coding RNA, 2201 nt
Organism: Syngnathoides biaculeatus (alligator pipefish)
Lineage: Eukaryota; Metazoa; Chordata; Actinopteri; Syngnathiformes; Syngnathidae
Exons: 5
Source: RefSeq, a predicted model, not a curated record
GGGCUUCGGCCUCCUGCUGCGCAAGAAGCAAUCAGUAGUCGCACACGACUUCCUUUGAGCGUGCAAGCCAGUCAAGGCCGUCCAACCGCAGUUUGGAUUUACAUUUACACUGCUCCAUCUUCAACACGCCUCCCACAUAUCGGCAACACUGCUACUCUGCACUCAGGUUUACGGUCAGGCCCAGCUUUGCGUUUAAUAGCAAACCGCUCGUACGACACGCCCGCUUUUAGAAUCUAUUCCACCCGAGCGGGCCCGCCGAAAUCCUUUCGUUGUAAAUAACUGCGAUCGCCGGAAGAACUCGUUGUGCGCAAUGUUUGCCUCCUCCCCACCCUCGGCUUGUCUGUCGAAUUUGCCCAAAGACGAAAGCGAAAGAAAAGGACAAGGUGCAACCACCGGAGUUAAAAAUAAAUAGCGGCGGUGCCCAUGGGAGGAAGGUUGCCCGAGAGCUCGAGAGUGCGCUUCAAGAGGCCAAAACUAAUGGCCCCGCAGGUCACGGCUCGUGUUUGUGUUUGCAGGGGAAGUUGAAAAUGUCAAACAUUUUUUCUUAAAGGGAUACUCCAAAUAAAUAGACUCAUAGCGUUAUUAUCUUUCAGAGGAAGGAAGAAACAAAGUACUUUUACUUAAGUAGAUUUUUCCAGGUAUCUGUCCUUGAUUUGAGUAUUUAUUUUUCUGGCAAUUCUUUUUUUACUUUCACUCCUUACUUUUUCGACACAGAUAUAUGUACUUUCUACUCCCGACGUUUCAAAAGUGAUCUUGUUACUUUUAAAACGUAAAAGUUAGCGACAAAAACCGGAAGUAAGCAAGUCGAUGUGCACAUAGACAACGUAGGUGUAUUUACUUUUGCCAUAUGUGAGGCUAGCGUAGUGGGGGCAAAGGUAUCGGUGCAUUCCAUGUAUAUAAGCUAGUGGGGGCAAAUUGUCAGCUGUGUAGUUUUAAAUUGUCCUAAAAAAAAAAAAAAAAAAAUAACAAGGAUGUCUGUACAUCGUGUUGUGAACUUUUGCACAGACGUCGUACAAUCUCAACAAAGGAACCCCGAACUGGGAAAAAACUUUCAGGCUUCAAGCAAGCGACUUGAAAGCGUGUAUGGAGCAUCGUCAUCGGUGUUGUCAGACGAGUGUGACUUAACGUCGAACCGAAGCCUUGUCAGGUGGCCGCUCUGCCUCACAAGUCGUCGUCUGAAGCUUCAUUCGGGCUGCGUUGCCUCCUCCUCCUCAAAGGAGAGGUGAAGGCUGCCAUCCAGUGGGCGCGACUGGCGCGUCACGGCUUGGUCUCCUGGCAGCCGUUUUGUGAACACAGUGGACUAGUGGUUUGCACGAGCGCCCGCAAAGGCCGCACCCUCUGUCGUUAUGAUGACAACAGAAGAUCUCCCUACUGGCCCAGAAGUAGACGGGACGGGAUAAGGUCCGGUUUACUUGCACAAGCUAACGUGCAUGUUUUUGGAAUGUGGGAGGAGGUCUGAGUACCCGGAGAAAACCCCAACAAGCACGAGAACACGCAAACAUCACACGGGAUGCAAAACCAGAACCUCCGAACUGUGAGUGCUCAAACGGGCUCGCUUGUAUCAAGGAGGCAAGGUUGGGCUCUACGUGGCAGAAUGUGUCCAAGAGUGCGCUUGGAGUUGCGCAAGGCUGGGCUGCCGCACCCAGAAAAUGCUUUCACACAACCGGCAACAUUCCUCCUCCCAGGGAAGAAGAAGAAGACAGUCACACUCGUACGGUAGAACCUUUUAUUAUUUUAGAACCGCACACAAUCCAGGUGUUCAAGCUAACAUUCAGCCUGCGGGAGUCAAAUGUUGAAGAAGCGGCACACUCAACUCGAGAUGUUCAGAGACGGAUUUCCCCGUCGUCCGGUUCGUCACCCCCGACUUCUUUUACGGCCUUGUCAGUCGAACGUCGGGCGGCGAGCCGACGCCCUUGCGCCGACUUCCACGCGGUCCGGAGAACGUUGCCAUAACCGCCGACGGCUGCCGCGGACACGCCCGCUCGACGUUCGAACGAUAGUUAGUCCAACGAUAAGAAUCAUUUCAAGUAGGGAUGAUAUCGGACUUGAUUGAUCAUUCAUCAAUUGCUAUUUAUUUUCCAAUAUUGUCUGACCGCAACGAGGGGGGAACGGACGGACUCCUGCUUCCGUAUUCACAUUGUGUGUCACGUUGCAGCCAUCUUGAGACAAAACUUUGCACCCAAACGGGAUUGGUUGGCGAU